This is a small nuclear RNA of Ursus americanus (American black bear), 105 nucleotides long. The record is from Ensembl. Lineage: Eukaryota; Metazoa; Chordata; Mammalia; Carnivora; Ursidae.
GUGCUCACUUUGGGAAAAACACAUAGUAAAAUUGGAACUAUACAGAGAUUAGCAUGGUCCCUGCACAAGGAUGACACGCAAAUGUGUGAAGUAUUCCUUAUAUUU